UUCGGAUUAGCUAGUGGUGGGGUAAGAGCCUACCAAGGCGACGAUCCGUAGCUGUCUGAGAGAUGACAGCCACACUGGGACUGAGACACGACCAGACUCUACGGGAGGCAGCAGUGGGGAAUUUUCCGCAAUGGGCGAAAGCCUGACGGAGCAACGCCGCGUGCGGGAUGACGGCCUGUGGGUUGUAAACCGCUUUUCUCAGGGAAGAAUAACUGACGGUACUGAGGAAUCAGCAUCGGCUAACUCCGUGCCAGCAGCCGCGGUAAUACGGAGGAUGCAAGCGUUAUCCGGAAUUAUUGGGCGUAAAGCGUCCGCAGGCGGCUUAUCAAGUCUGCUGUUAAAGGUCGGGGCUUAACUCCGGAUAGGCAGUGGAAACUGAUAGGCUAGAGUGUGGUAGGGGUAGAGGGAAUUCCCAGUGUAGCGGUGAAAUGCGUAGAUAUUGGGAAGAACACCAGUGGCGAAGGCGCUCUACUGGGCCACAACUGACGCUGAGGGACGAAAGCUAGGGGAGCGAAAGGGAUUAGAUACCCCUGUAGUCCUAGCCGUAAACGAUGGACACUAGGUGUUGACCGUAUCGACCCGGUCAGUAUCGUAGUUAACGCGUUAAGUGUCCCGCCUGGGGAGUACGCACGCAAGUGUGAAACUCAAAGGAAUUGACGGGGGCCCGCACAAGCGGUGGAGUAUGUGGUUUAAUUCGAUGCAACGCGAAGAACCUUACCAGGGUUUGACAUCCCGCGAAUCUCCGAGAAAUUGGGGAGUGCCUUCGGGAGCGCGGAGACAGGUGGUGCAUGGCUGUCGUCAGCUCGUGUCGAGAGAUGUUGGGUUAAGUCCCGCAACGAGCGCAACCCUCGUUUUUAGUUGCCAUCAUUAAGUUGGGCACUCUAGAGAGACUGCCGGGGACAACUCGGAGGAAGGUGGGGACGACGUCAAGUCAUCAUGCCCCUUACAUCCUGGGCUACACACGUACUACAAUGCUACGGACAAAGGGCAGCAAGCUCGCGAGAGCAAGCUAAUCUCAUAAACUGUGGCUCAGUUCAGAUCGCAGGCUGCAACUCGCCUGCGUGAAGGAGGAAUCGCUAGUAAUCGCAGGUCAGCAUACUGCGGUGAAUACGUUCC
Molecule: ribosomal RNA, 1116 nt
Filed under: uncultured cyanobacterium
Lineage: Bacteria; Bacillati; Cyanobacteriota
Description: bacterial SSU rRNA
Rfam family: Bacterial small subunit ribosomal RNA
Source: RNAcentral